UAAUUCUUGCACAGUUCUGGAAAUUUCCAGUCUCUCUUUUUUUUUCUUUUUUCUUUUAACUCUUUUUAUUAGCAUUAUUUUAUUUAGUUCAUUAAACUGAUUUUUGUUUAUGGGGUAUUUCAGUCGACGAGUUGCCUGUCUCCUAAAUCAUUUAGGAAAUAAAUCCACCGCAACAAGACUACUAUUUUGAGGAAUUUACUCUGGGAACUAUUUUACUUCAAUUUGGCGGAAGGAUAACUGCAGUGGUGAGUUGUCAGUCCUACAGGUCUAUAUAAAGAGACAGCGGACCAGAUUCUAUGCAAGCUUUUUGUCGGGUGGAAGAAUGGGUCUGCGGAGAGGGAGGAAGAGCACAGGCUUGCUCUUUGUUCCAUUUGCAGCUAGGAGUGGUCCUGUGAACGAGGUGUCAUCAGGCGGUGUGCUGGAUCAUGCUUGCCCUAGGGAAGAAUGUUCUGAUGAUCUUGAGUCCCAACUGUAACUGAGGAGCACAGAUAAAUCAGCGGUAUUCUGUACAAUAGUUUUUAUUUGCUGGAAUUUAGAAUAACCUAAUACAACAGUAAGUCUAAGGAGGGGAUAUAGCUGGUGGUGACGUCACUGCAGCGUAGUGUAUAACUUUAGGUAACCACAAGGUGGCAGUGUCUGUUUUAAUCAUAAGUCAUUUAACAAUGAUGGGUUAAGUGAGAGGUGUAGCCUUUUAUGGCUGAGGGGGGGAAAGGGGGGGGGGGUGCAUUUGAGUUCUCCACUUUUAUUUUCCAGGUCUAACUCCUCCUUGUGAAACCUUGAACUGAAUAGGCUCCAACUGCUCUAAAUUAAAACGUUGACGUAACUUGACGAAGGUUUAUACAGACAUCUGGCAUUGGUAUCUUACUUUUUCAGCUACUGGCUAGGCUGUGCCCCAGACUACUGAUGAAUCUUUUUAAUUUCUGUAUAGUAAUGUCCUAAUCUGUGUAGUGGAGGGGUUUAAGGUUAUAAAUUAUGUCCAUCUUUCUAUUAUGGGGUAGUAAGUAUACAAAGUAGGGCAGGUGCUAAGAUAUCUGCAUACAUAUGUGGGUGGGGGGAGGGGUUAUAAAUGGAUAUUUUUAGAUUCUUUACAGAUAACACCCACAUACCAAGCAGUUCGUGUUUCCUGCCACAAGAACCACAGUGGAUCCUAACAUGAUGCUUCCCUUAGCCUGAGAUGUACGACCUGAGACCAGUGUACCGUUAGGAGUUUGUCCCUCCCUUGUUGGCCAAAGAUGUUUCCUACAUGUGCCUGUGAUAUUCUGCAUCCCAAAGUCCCAUUACUGCGGUCCACUUCAUAGAAGAGCUCCUUGGUUCCUGCCAGUCGUCAGAUGUCCUAGAUUUGGGUCCCUCCUAAAGAUGCGCAUCUAGUGUUUAUCCUUACUCUGCUUGCUAUAGCCCUAGACUGCCCACUAUGAACAUUCUUCUCUUCACUAUGAGGAUAACAAAGCCCCCAGUUAAGAACUUUUAUUAUGCCAAGUCUGUGCCCGCUAUAAAAACUCUGUCCUUCUCCCUAUGGAUGAAAAUCGAAGUUGAUAGUUUAUAAACCUGCAGUGAAAAGCAGGGCAAUCUUCAGUUGUUAUGCUGUAUAUAUUUGCUGUGCUUGUUGGCACAAACUGUGCUAACUAUUUAUACUGUAACUUGCUCCAUGUACAUAUGAGUUUACUAUAGUGUGUGCCACAUGAGCUACACACUUUGCUUGUUUGUAUGUUACAAUUAUUCGUGAUUUGUGUUUGAGUCCUUAUUUGUGGUACCAGAAAGGCUUGUGUUUUUAUUUCUGUGGUAUGGGGUAAAAUAGUGUUACUUUUACUGGUCGUCUUAAAUUGAGCUUCCUACAGUAAUAUUAACCUAAACCAAAUGCGGAAGUACAUUUGCUGAAUGAGGUAUCAAAUGAUAAAUUACAUCUACACUUAAAUGUAAUACAACACACAACUUGACUUCACUGAAGAUUUGAGUCUGCAAGCAGAUAUUGUGACACCAACAGUUAAAGCAGAGCUUCAGCCACAACUAAGGAUGGCCAAGGAACAAGCCCGGAAUGGUCCACAUGACUAGAUUGUAAAUAUAUAGAAAGGAAUAAGCAUAACAUUAAAAUGAAACAGUCCACACUAAAUCACAGUAUAACAUGGACAGAACACUUUAUUCUAAAACACUGGUGAUACUAUCCGGGUAAUACUUUGCACCAAGGCAUUUACUUAGAUUACCUUUCAAAGUGGUAUGAGGCUUUGUGAGCAGUAAAUCUGUAAUACUUGGUUCUACGGUGUGUUAGUGAAGUUGUCAGGUGUUUAUAAAAAAAAAUACUUUGUCAAUUAAUACCUUAUUCACAAACCCAAUGGUAAAUGCAAUGGCUGUACUGUGCACAGUGGAUGUCAUUGCUGGUCAUGUACAGCGUGACUAGAUAAACCCAUGUGGGCUGGUGUUCUGGGUGUUUUUUUUAAAGUUACAAAUACUUCCAUAAUUGCAUCAGUGAAAUACUACCACAGGAAUACAAAAUAAACCUCUCUAUACUUCGGUCUAUUUAAACCAAACCUGAUGAAACUGUGCCUUAUGGUUUAUGUAACUAUGGAUUCAUUACAUCUUUCAGAUAAUUAAACCAACAUUAAUGAUUUCAUGUGAACCUGAAAUCUCAACUUCCAUUUUUAUAUACAUUCCAAGUGACAAAUCUGCCUGUACAAUGGAGGGGUUGAUGCUGGGUUAAACUCAAGCAAGUCAAAUAUAAUCUAGUUGGGGGGGGGAGAAAAUGGCAUGGUUGAUGCUACAAUGUUAUCAGAUUGAGGUGUUUGGAUUUUCUAGUAAGAGAUUAGUCAGGUAUACAGUCUUUUUAUUUAUUUUUUGUUUAAGAAGGACUUCCAAGUCUUAUACCUGUGUUUUUUAUUUUAUUUUAUGGUAGGUGUUUGAACAGUUAUGUUUUAUCACUAUAAAUACCUGCUAAAAUGUACUUUAUAAAUUUCAUAUAAAUUAAAAUCUUGAUUUUUAUUUUUACUAUAUUUAAAUAAAAGUAAAGUUCUUUGUUAAAAA
Molecule: long non-coding RNA, 3012 nt
Organism: Pseudophryne corroboree (corroboree frog)
Lineage: Eukaryota; Metazoa; Chordata; Amphibia; Anura; Myobatrachidae
Exons: 2
Source: RefSeq, a predicted model, not a curated record